GAAGGAAAUCCCUUAAGGAAAGAGGAAAAGACCUGGGUGCCUGCCUGGCUCCAAACUCCAAUUUGCAGCUCUGCUGUCCCUCACCCUCCGUGUUCUGUCCACGC
Sapajus apella (tufted capuchin) is the source of this 104-nucleotide long non-coding RNA. RefSeq lists it as uncharacterized. The record is from RefSeq and is a predicted model, not a curated record. Lineage: Eukaryota; Metazoa; Chordata; Mammalia; Primates; Cebidae. The transcript has 3 exons.